GGAGUUAGCCGGUGCUUCUUCUGUGAGUGAUGUCCUUCCUGCCGGCUAUUAACCCGCAGGCCUUCUUCCUCACUGAAAGUGCUUUACAACCCGAAGGCCUUCUUCACACACGCGGCAUGGCUGGAUCAGGGUUGCCCCCAUUGUCCAAUAUUCCCCACUGCUGCCUCCCGUAGGAGUCUGGGCCGUGUCUCAGUCCCAGUGUGGCUGAUCAUCCUCUCAGACCAGCUACGGAUCGUCGCCUUGGUGAGCCGUUACCUCACCAACCAGCUAAUCCGACAUAGGCUCAUCCGAUAGCGCGAGGCCCGAAGGUCCCCCGCUUUCCCCCGUAGGGCGUAUGCGGUAUUAGCCUGGGUUUCCCCAGGUUAUCCCCCACUACCGGGCAGAUUCCUAUGCAUUACUCACCCGUCCGCCGCUCGCCACCAGGGAGCAAGCUCCCCGUGCUGCCGCUCGACUUGCAUGUGUUAGGCCUGCCGCCAGCGUUCAAUCUGAGCCANGANACAACUACUGA
This 508-nucleotide ribosomal RNA is filed under the name uncultured bacterium. Its description in RNAcentral is "partial 16S ribosomal RNA". The record is from RNAcentral.